Molecule: ribosomal RNA, 253 nt
Filed under: uncultured bacterium
Lineage: Bacteria
Description: partial 16S ribosomal RNA
Rfam family: Bacterial small subunit ribosomal RNA
Source: RNAcentral
UACGGUGGGGGCUAGCGUUGUUCGGAAUUACUGGGCGUAAAGCGCGCGUAGGCGGCUUUGUAAGUUAGAGGUGAAAGCCCGGAGCUCAACUCCGGAACUGCCUUUAAGACUGCAUCGCUAGAAUCAUGGAGAGGUGAGUGGAAUUCCGCGUGUAGCAGUGAAAUGCGUAGAUAUGCGGAGGAACACCGAUGGCGAAGGCAAUCCCCUGGACCUGUACUGACGCUCAUGCACGAAAGCGUGGGGAGCAAACAGG